UACGUAGGUCGCAAGCGUUGUCCGGAUUUACUGGGCGUAAAGAGCGCGCAGGCGGCUGGUCAAGUCCGAUGUGAAAUCUCCCGGCUUAACUGGGAAACUGCAUCGGAAACUGAUCGGCUUGAAGGUGGGAGAGGGUAGUGGAAUUCCCGGUGUAGUGGUGAAAUGCGUAGAUAUCGGGAGGAACACCGGUGGCGAAGGCGGUCUUCUGGACGGUGACUGACGCUGAGGCGCGAAAGCGUGGGGAGCAAACGGG
Molecule: ribosomal RNA, 253 nt
Filed under: uncultured bacterium
Lineage: Bacteria
Description: partial 16S ribosomal RNA
Rfam family: Bacterial small subunit ribosomal RNA
Source: RNAcentral